UAGGGAAUCUUGCGCAAUGGGCGAAAGCCUGACGCAGCGACGCCGCGUGCGGGAUGAAGGCCUUAGGGUUGUAAACCGCUUUCAGCAGGGACGAAGCGAAAGUGACGGUACCUGCAGAAGAAGGUCCGGCCAACUACGUGCCAGCAGCCGCGGUAAUACGUAGGGACCGAGCGUUGUCCGGAUUCAUUGGGCGUAAAGAGCUCGUAGGCGGCUGCUCAAGUCGAAUGUGAAACCUCGAGGCUUAACCUCGAGCCUGCAUUCGAUACUGGGCGGCUAGAGUCUGGUAGGGGGAUCUGGAAUUCCUGGUGUAGCGGUGGAAUGCGCAGAUAUCAGGAGGAACACCGGUGGCGAAGGCGGGAUCCUGGGCCAGUACUGACGCUGAGGAGCGAAAGCGUGGGGAGCAAACAG
This 408-nucleotide ribosomal RNA is filed under the name uncultured bacterium. RNAcentral's name for it is "bacterial SSU rRNA". It matches the Rfam family "Bacterial small subunit ribosomal RNA", at positions 355 to 775 of the family's 1533-position model. The record is from RNAcentral.